RNAcentral lists this ribosomal RNA (566 nucleotides) under uncultured Bacteroidota bacterium. Its description in RNAcentral is "bacterial SSU rRNA". It matches the Rfam family "Bacterial small subunit ribosomal RNA", at positions 11 to 564 of the family's 1533-position model. Lineage: Bacteria; Pseudomonadati; Bacteroidota. The record is from RNAcentral.
CUUUGAUUAUGGCUCAGGAUGAACGCUAGCUACAGGCUUAACACAUGCAAGUCGAGGGGAAACGACAUCGAAAGCUUGCUUUUGAUGGGCGUCGACCGGCGCACGGGUGAGUAACGCGUAUCCAACCUGCCCACCACUUGGGGAUAACCUUGCGAAAGUAAGACUAAUACCCUAUGACGUCUCUAGAAGACAUCUGAAAGAGAUUAAAGAUUUAUCGGUGAUGGAUGGGGAUGCGUCUGAUUAGCUUGUUGGCGGGGUAACGGCCCACCAAGGCGACAAUCAGUAGGGGUUCUGAGAGGAAGGUCCCCCACAUUGGAACUGAGACACGGUCCAAACUCCUACGGGAGGCAGCAGUGAGGAAUAUUGGUCAAUGGGCGAGAGCCUGAACCAGCCAAGUAGCGUGCAGGAUGACGGCCCUAUGGGUUGUAAACUGCUUUUAUAAGGGAAUAAAGUGAGUCUCGUGAGACUUUUUGCAUGUACCUUAUGAAUAAGGACCGGCUAAUUCCGUGCCAGCAGCCGCGGUAAUACGGAAGGUCCGGGCGUUAUCCGGAUUUAUUGGGUUUAAA